UUUGGUGUUUCGUUGUUUUUUUUCUCCCUUUUGGCCAUCCGAGUGUGUGUGCGCUCAUGCUUUCUCCAUGACCUACCGUGCAUUUGGGAGAGAGAGGGGUGAAGAUGGGAGACAUCUCAGAGGCGUCUUCCUUUCACUAAUUCGGAAGCACUUUCCUUCAACCAAACGAAAAAGAGAAAGAGGAAGUAUCAUUAAAAGAAAACUGAAGCAGAGAGUCCGAGGCCUUAACAAAGUGAUGAAAACCGCCCAGGACCACUACAGCAGUAGCAACGACAUCAUCAAGAUCAGCUCGGAGAGCAGCACCGAUUCUGAGCCGGGUUUGGAGAGCGAUUUCAAUUCCUCUCCGGAGUCCCUCGUGGAAAUGGAAGACUUGGCCAGCAGAUACAAACCCUUCAAUGGCGC
RNAcentral lists this long non-coding RNA (402 nucleotides) under Notechis scutatus (mainland tiger snake). Its description in RNAcentral is "lncRNA (ENSNSUG00000009582.1)". Lineage: Eukaryota; Metazoa; Chordata; Lepidosauria; Squamata; Elapidae. The record is from RNAcentral.